AGAGUUUGAUCCUGGCUCAGAAUCAACGCUGGCGGCGCGCUUAACACAUGCAAGUCGCACGAGAAAGGGAGCAAUCCUAAGUACAGUGGCGUACGGGUGAGUAACACGUGGAUCAUCUACUUUGGUGGGGAAUACCCCCGGGAAACUGGGGACAAUUCCGCAUAAGCUCGAAAGAGGAAAGCCGAAAGGCGCCGAAGGAG
RNAcentral lists this ribosomal RNA (200 nucleotides) under uncultured bacterium. RNAcentral's name for it is "partial 16S ribosomal RNA". It matches the Rfam family "Bacterial small subunit ribosomal RNA", at positions 8 to 229 of the family's 1533-position model. The record is from RNAcentral.